Molecule: non-coding RNA, 85 nt
Organism: Arabidopsis thaliana (thale cress)
Lineage: Eukaryota; Viridiplantae; Streptophyta; Magnoliopsida; Brassicales; Brassicaceae
Source: RefSeq
AGGAGGCAAUAGCUUGAGCAAAUAAUUGAUUGCAGAAGUCCAUCGACUAAAGCUGUCACCUGUUUGCUUCCAGCUUUUGUCUCCU